RNAcentral lists this long non-coding RNA (1175 nucleotides) under Vulpes vulpes (red fox). RNAcentral's name for it is "lncRNA (ENSVVUG00000007514.1)". Lineage: Eukaryota; Metazoa; Chordata; Mammalia; Carnivora; Canidae. The record is from RNAcentral.
AUGCAGGGCUGGAGGGCUCCCUUACCGGCUCGCGCGCCGUCCCUGCUCAGCUGAGCCUCCCCCAGCACAGCGGCUUCUCCAGCAGCCCGGCCUCCCAAAGCAAACUUGAGACCAACUUUAAAGGCAAAAUUCCCAAAUCGCCUUUCCUUGGGAGCCCCCCUCAACGACGGGCUGUGCCAAGGCCCGGCACCGGGUGGCCCCAAGAUUCUGGCGCCCAAGACCCCGGGCAGGGAGGAGCACCCCACCUGCCUGCGUCCCGGCCACCUGCGCCUCUUCUGAGCCUCGCCAGGCGUCGCCCGCUUUGCCGCUGGAAGACAAGAAGCGAGAAAAAAGUAAGAAAGUGUGGGAGGAGGAACAAGUAUGGCAGGAGGUCACCUAAAACUCCUUCCCUGCUAAAAAGAAACCAGCACAACCCGGAAUGGUGGAACCUUUCCCAGCCGAGGACGGAUAAUCAGGCUAUCUGCAGCUUUCUGGCCCUCUGGCAAGCUCUGAGCAUGAUCAAUAUUUAAAUAAGUACUUGGCUUUCAACUUCCCUCGGUUCAAAUAUUAAGCAAAGUGGAUGCGAGCAACCUUAAAAGAAGCCGGUGAAUAUAUGAGGCAGGAAGCUGUCGGGUGUGUCAACGACCCUUUGCGUCUGAUUGACUCUGCUCCUCUAGGUACGGGUUACUCUGGACACUCGGCGCUAAACUUGGCGAAGACCCCAUCUGUUUAGACUUCAAAGCCUGCAUAGGGUCAGUCCCCAGACGGGGACGUUCGCCCAAGAAACCCGGUGGGUAAAUCCGUUGGGAAAAUUCUAGCUUCCUGUGAGUAGGAUGCCAGCGUCCCAGCUCAGUUCUGUCUUUUCCAGUUAAUCACCCUUACAGACCUCCUCCAUAAACCCCUCUUCGUUGUCCUGGUUUCUGCCGGCCUCUGGACUUGGACGGAGCUUAAUGACCUUACCACAAUUAAGCAUGUGAUUAUAGUCACUGUCAUAUGUCAGACUGUUACAGGUUCUCGACCUCUCUUGUCUCAAGUACAAAGACUGUUUCUUAUCCCCGUCACCUCCACAGUCCUAACUAGGACGCCUGUGGAGUCUUUAAUACCUGUAUUGAGACUCUAGCUCCGGAGUAUUUAAAAUUGGGUUUUGUACAUGGGAGACUCCUAACUCCGGGAAAUGAACAAGGGGUAGUGGAAAG